This 161-nucleotide non-coding RNA is filed under the name bovine gut metagenome. Its description in RNAcentral is "Lysine riboswitch". It matches the Rfam family "Lysine riboswitch aptamer". From Rfam's summary of the family: Riboswitches are metabolite binding domains within certain messenger RNAs that serve as precision sensors for their corresponding targets. Allosteric rearrangement of mRNA structure is mediated by ligand binding, and this results in modulation of gene expression. The record is from RNAcentral.
AAUGAUAGAGGCGCGCCCGAAAUGAGUAACGCGGUCGACGGAUGCCGAUCCGCGCGUGAAAGGUGACGGCGCCGAAGAGGUCUUCCCCUCGGCAGGGGAUGCCCGUCUGGCAGAACGGAGAACAUCCGUUAUGCUGUCGCAGAAAUGCGGAGCGCUAUCCU